RNAcentral lists this transfer RNA (85 nucleotides) under Alphaproteobacteria bacterium. RNAcentral describes it as "tRNA-Tyr". It matches the Rfam family "tRNA". From Rfam's summary of the family: Transfer RNA (tRNA) molecules are approximately 80 nucleotides in length. Their secondary structure includes four short double-helical elements and three loops (D, anti-codon, and T loops). Further hydrogen bonds mediate the characteristic L-shaped molecular structure. tRNAs have two regions of fundamental functional importance: the anti-codon, which is responsible for specific mRNA codon recognition, and the 3' end, to which the tRNAs corresponding amino acid is attached (by aminoacyl-tRNA synthetases). tRNAs cope with the degeneracy of the genetic code in two manners: having more than one tRNA (with a specific anti-codon) for a particular amino acid; and 'wobble' base-pairing, i.e. permitting non-standard base-pairing at the 3rd anti-codon position. The record is from RNAcentral. Lineage: Bacteria; Pseudomonadati; Pseudomonadota; Alphaproteobacteria.
GGAAGGGUGCCCGAGUGGCUAAAGGGGACGGACUGUAAAUCCGUUGGCUACGCCUACGCUGGUUCGAAUCCAGCCCCUUCCACCA